GCGAGCGGCGGAUGGGUGAGUAACACGUGGGGAACCUGCCCCUAAGUCUGGGAUACCAUUUGGAAACAGGUGCUAAUACCGGAUAAUAAAGCAGAUCGCAUGAUCAGCUUUUGAAAGGCGGCGUAAGCUGUCGCUAAGGGAUGGCCCCGCGGUGCAUUAGCUAGUUGGUAAGGUAACGGCUUACCAAGGCGACGAUGCAUAGCCGAGUUGAGAGACUGAUCGGCCACAUUGGGACUGAGACACGGCCCAAACUCCUACGGGAGGCAGCAGUAGGGAAUCUUCCACAAUGGACGCAAGUCUGAUGGAGCAACGCCGCGUGAGUGAAGAAGGUUUUCGGAUCGUAAAGCUCUGUUGUUGGUGAAGAAGGAUAGAGGUAGUAACUGGCCUUUAUUUGACGGUAAUCAACCAGAAAGUCACGGCUAACUACGUGCCAGCAGCCGCGGUAAUACGUAGGUGGCAAGCGUUGUCCGGAUUUAUUGGGCGUAAAGCGAGCGCAGGCGGAAAAAUAAGUCUAAUGUGAAAGCCCUCGGCUUAACCGAGGAACUGCAUCGGAAACUGUUUUUCUUGAGUGCAGAAGAGGAGAGUGGAACUCCAUGUGUAGCGGUGGAAUGCGUAGAUAUAUGGAAGAACACCAGUGGCGAAGGCGGCUCUCUGGUCUGCAACUGACGCUGAGGCUCGAAAGCAUGGGUAGCGAACAGGAUUAGAUACCCUGGUAGUCCAUGGCGUAAACGAUGAGUGCUAAGUGUUGGGAGGUUUCCGCCUCUCAGUGCUGCAGCUAACGCAUUAAGCACUCCGCCUGGGGAGUACGACCGCAAGGUUGAAACUCAAAGGAAUUGACGGGGG
Molecule: ribosomal RNA, 843 nt
Filed under: uncultured bacterium
Lineage: Bacteria
Description: bacterial SSU rRNA
Rfam family: Bacterial small subunit ribosomal RNA
Source: RNAcentral